Molecule: ribosomal RNA, 384 nt
Filed under: uncultured prokaryote
Description: bacterial SSU rRNA
Rfam family: Archaeal small subunit ribosomal RNA
Source: RNAcentral
GCGAAAACUUUACAAUGCUGGCAACAGCGAUAAGGGAACCUCGAGUGCCAGGUUACAAAUCUGGCUGUCGAGAUGCCUAAAAAGCAUUUCAUAGCAAGGGCCGGGCAAGACCGGUGCCAGCCGCCGCGGUAACACCGGCGGCCCGAGUGUUAACCGUUAUUAUUGGGUCUAACGGGUCUGUAGCCGGCCGGAUAAGUCUCUUGAGAAAUCUGGCAGCUUAACUGUCAGGCUUUCAGGAGAUACUGUCUGGCUCGAGGCCGGGGGAGGUGAGAGGUACUUCAGAGGUAGUGGUGAAAUCUUGUAAUCCUUGAAGGACCACCAGUGGCGAAGGCGGCUCACCAGAACGAACCUGACGGCAAGGGACGAAAGCUAGGGGCACGAACC